AAGAGGAAACAAGAUUCGGUAAGAAAUGAAAACUGCAACGAGAGGUUUCUGUGAAAUAUUAAGGUUGUUUUUCAGGGUAGAUGAACAACUUGAACGACCCAGACUGGAACAUAAGGCCCGACCAGGGGGCAGGUGGGGGUAACAGCAAGUGGAAUUAUGCCCUCCUGGUGCCCAUGCUGGGCCUCGCUGCAUUUCGAUGGAUAUGGUCCAAAGAGUCCGAGAAAGAGAUUAAUGAGGCCAGGACCAAGAACUAAGAUUCAGUGAA
Clupea harengus (Atlantic herring) is the source of this 265-nucleotide long non-coding RNA. RefSeq lists it as uncharacterized. Lineage: Eukaryota; Metazoa; Chordata; Actinopteri; Clupeiformes; Clupeidae. The record is from RefSeq and is a predicted model, not a curated record. The transcript is spliced from 3 exons.